UACAGAGGUCCCAAGCGUUGUUCGGAUUCACUGGGCGUAAAGGGUGCGUAGGUGGUUGGGUAAGUUUGAUGUGAAAGCUCUGGGCUCAACCCAGAAAUGGCAUUGAAUACUAUCCAGCUAGAGGAGUGGAGGGGGGACUGGAAUACUUGGUGUAGCAGUGAAAUGCGUAGAGAUGUGGAGGAAUACCGAUGGCGAAGGCAGCCCCCUGGGCCAAUACUGACGCUGAGGCGCGAAAGCUAGGGGAGCAAACGGG
This 253-nucleotide ribosomal RNA is filed under the name uncultured bacterium. RNAcentral's name for it is "partial 16S ribosomal RNA". It matches the Rfam family "Bacterial small subunit ribosomal RNA", at positions 524 to 776 of the family's 1533-position model. The record is from RNAcentral.